AUUGAACGCUGGCGGCAGGCCUAACACAUGCAAGUCGAGCGGUAGAGAGAAGCUUGCUUCUCUUGAGAGCGGCGGACGGGUGAGUAAUGCCUAGGAAUCUGCCCGGUAGUGGGGGAUAACGUUCGGAAACGGACGCUAAUACCGCAUACGUCCUACGGGAGAAAGCAGGGGACCUUCGGGCCUUGCGCUAUCAGGUGAGCCUAGGUCGGAUUAGCUAGUUGGUGAGGUAAUGGCUCACCAAGGCGACGAUCCGUAACUGGUCUGAGAGGAUGAUCAGUCACACUGGAACUGAGACACGGUCCAGACUCCUACGGGAGGCAGCAGUGGGGAAUAUUGGACAAUGGGCGAAAGCCUGAUCCAGCCAUGCCGCGUGUGUGAAGAAGGUCUUCGGAUUGUAAAGCACUUUAAGUUGGGAGGAAGGGCAGUUACCUAAUACGUGAUUGUUUUGACGUUACCGACAGAAUAAGCACCGGCUAACUCUGUGCCAGCAGCCGCAGUAA
This 500-nucleotide ribosomal RNA is filed under the name uncultured bacterium. RNAcentral describes it as "partial 16S ribosomal RNA". It matches the Rfam family "Bacterial small subunit ribosomal RNA", at positions 30 to 523 of the family's 1533-position model. The record is from RNAcentral.